AUUGAACGCUGGCGGCAGGCCUAACACAUGCAAGUCGGGCGGGGUGAUGGUGCUUGCACUAUCACUUAGCGGCGGACGGGUGAGUAAUGCUUAGGAAUCUGCCUAUUAGUGGGGGACAACAUCUCGAAAGGGAUGCUAAUACCGCAUACGUCCUACGGGAGAAAGCAGGGGAUCACUUGUGACCUUGCGCUAAUAGAUGAGCCUAAGUCGGAUUAGCUAGUUGGUGGGGUAAAGGCCUACCAAGGCGACGAUCUGUAGCGGGUAUGAGAGGAUGAUCCGCAACACUGGGACUGAGACACGGCCCAGACUCCUACGGGAGGCAGCAGUGGGGAAUAUUGGACAAUGGGGGGAACCCUGAUCCAGCCAUGCCGCGUGUGUGAAGAAGGCCUUAUGGUUGUAAAGCACUUUAAGCGAGGAGGAGGCUCUUUUGGUUAAUACCCAGAAUGAGUGGACGUUACUCGCAGAAUAAGCACCGGCUAACUCUGUGCCAGCCGCCGCCGUAA
RNAcentral lists this ribosomal RNA (503 nucleotides) under uncultured bacterium. Its description in RNAcentral is "partial 16S ribosomal RNA". It matches the Rfam family "Bacterial small subunit ribosomal RNA", at positions 30 to 523 of the family's 1533-position model. The record is from RNAcentral.